RNAcentral lists this long non-coding RNA (393 nucleotides) under Salvia miltiorrhiza (redroot sage). RNAcentral's name for it is "long non-coding RNA (SMIL_LNC004457)". Lineage: Eukaryota; Viridiplantae; Streptophyta; Magnoliopsida; Lamiales; Lamiaceae. The record is from RNAcentral.
AUAUUUUCUCUCAUUAACUAAAAAUUCUCUCUUUAGGUUAUAUAAGGUCAACUACCCAAACACUUUGACAACUUAUAAGCUACUAAGAAACUACAUCUUAUAAGCUCCAAGAACUUAUAAGCUCUUUCAAAUAAGCUUGACCAAACACCCUUUAAAGCACUCAGGUGGAUAACUACUCUGAUAUACUCAAACUGCUUCAGACCAAGAAUUUCAACAAAAAUCACACAGACUACUAGGUCCCUUAUCAUGAUCAUCGUUCUAGAAGGUUCGCUGCAACUAAAAAACAACUAUAACUACAUCUAUCUAGGGGUGUGCAGCGGGUCGGACCCGGACCGACCUGCCGGGUCUGUUGGACCGAAAAUUUUGAGAGGACGGACCGACCCGGACCGAAAA